GUGCUCGCUUCAGCAGCACAUAUACUAAAAUUGGAACGAUAGAGAAGAUUAGCAUGGCCCCUGAGCAAGGAUGACACACAAAUUCGUGAAGCGUUCCUUAUUUCA
Molecule: small nuclear RNA, 105 nt
Organism: Otolemur garnettii (small-eared galago)
Lineage: Eukaryota; Metazoa; Chordata; Mammalia; Primates; Galagidae
Source: Ensembl